GACGAACGCUGGCGGCGUGCUUAACACAUGCAAGUCGAACGGAAAGGCCCUGCUUUUGUGGGGUGCUCGAGUGGCGAACGGGUGAGUAACACGUGAGUAACCUGCCCUUGACUUUGGGAUAACUUCAGGAAACUGGGGCUAAUACCGGAUAGGAGCUCCUGCUGCGUGGUGGGGGGUGGAAAGUUUCGGCGGUUGGGGAUGGACUCGCGGCUUAUCAGCUUGUUGGUGGGGUAGUGGCUUACCAAGGCUUUGACGGGUAGCCGGCCUGAGAGGGUGACCGGCCACAUUGGGACUGAGAUACGGCCCAGACUCCUACGGGAGGCAGCAGUGGGGAAUAUUGCACAAUGGGCGGAAGCCUGAUGCAGCAACGCCGCGUGCGGGAUGACGGCCUUCGGGUUGUAAACCGCUUUCGCCUGUGACGAAGCGUGAGUGACGGUAAUGGGUAAAGAAGCACCGGCUAACUACGUG
Molecule: ribosomal RNA, 468 nt
Filed under: uncultured bacterium
Lineage: Bacteria
Description: partial 16S ribosomal RNA
Rfam family: Bacterial small subunit ribosomal RNA
Source: RNAcentral